UACGGGGGGAGCAAGCGUUGUUCGGAUUUACUGGGCGUAAAGGGCGCGUAGGCGGCCACCGCAAGUCGGUUGUGAAAUCUCUGGGCUUAACCCAGAAAGGUCGACCGAUACUGCGGGGCUAGAGUGCAGAAGGGGCAACUGGAAUUCUCGGUGUAGCGGUGAAAUGCGUAGAUAUCGAGAGGAACACCUGCGGCGAAGGCGGGUUGCUGGGCUGACACUGACGCUGAAGCGCGAAAGCUAGGGGGGCGAACGGG
This 254-nucleotide ribosomal RNA is filed under the name uncultured bacterium. RNAcentral's name for it is "partial 16S ribosomal RNA". It matches the Rfam family "Bacterial small subunit ribosomal RNA", at positions 524 to 776 of the family's 1533-position model. The record is from RNAcentral.